RNAcentral lists this ribosomal RNA (429 nucleotides) under uncultured bacterium. RNAcentral's name for it is "bacterial SSU rRNA". It matches the Rfam family "Bacterial small subunit ribosomal RNA", at positions 125 to 588 of the family's 1533-position model. The record is from RNAcentral.
CGUGCCUUUCGGUUCGGAAUAACCCAGGGAAACUUGGGCUAAUACCGGAUACGCCCUUCGGGGGAAAGAUUCAUCGCCGAAAGAUCGGCCCGCGUCGGAUUAGCUAGUUGGUGGGGUAAUGGCCCACCAAGGCGACGAUCCGUAGCUGGUCUGAGAGGAUGACCAGCCACACUGGGACUGAGACACGGCCCAGACUCCUACGGGAGGCAGCAGUGGGGAAUAUUGGACAAUGGGCGAAAGCCUGAUCCAGCCAUGCCGCGUGGGUGAAGAAGGCCUUAGGGUUGUAAACCCCUUUCAGCGGGGAAGAUAAUGACGGUACCCGCAGAAGAAGUCCCGGCUAACUCCGUGCCAGCAGCCGCGGUAAUACGGAGGGGACUAGCGUUGUUCGGAAUUACUGGGCGUAAAGCGCACGUAGGCGGAUUUGUAAGU